This 534-nucleotide ribosomal RNA is filed under the name Hyperolius fusciventris burtoni. RNAcentral describes it as "partial large subunit ribosomal RNA". It matches the Rfam family "Bacterial large subunit ribosomal RNA", at positions 1854 to 2606 of the family's 2925-position model. The record is from RNAcentral. Lineage: Eukaryota; Metazoa; Chordata; Amphibia; Anura; Hyperoliidae.
CCGCCUGCCCCGUGAUAUAUUUAACGGCCGCGGUAUCUUGACCGUGCAAAGGUAGCAUAAUCAAUUGUUCUUUAAAUAAGAACUAGUAUGAACGGCACCACGAGGGUUUAACUGUCUCCCCCCUUUAAUCAAUAAAACUGACCUUCCCGUGAAAAGGCGGAAAUAUAAAUAUAAGACGAUAAGACCCCAUGGAGCUUUAAACUUAUCACCACUUACUAAAAGUAAAACACAACACAAAGUAAUCAUGUUAAUGAUAGUUUUCGGUUGGGGCGACCAUGGAGAAAAACAAAUCCUCCAAGCUGAAUAAACUAAUAAUAUUAGAACUACAAUUCAAACAAUCAAAACUUUGACAAAAUGACCCAGGAUAAUAUCCUGAUCAACGAACCAAGUUACCCUGGGGAUAACAGCGCUAUCCAUUUCAAGAGCCCAUAUCGACAAAUGGGUUUACGACCUCGAUGUUGGAUUGGGAUAUCCCAGCAGCGCAGCCGCUGCUAAUGGUUCGUUUGUUCAACGAUUAAUAAUCCCACGUGAUCU